GCAACUUCUUCCCUCUCCCGGCGACUUUUCUUUCUCAUCUUCACGGCUUCGGUUAUCUACACAACUUAUUAGUAGGGCAAACGGUGGUCGGAACCUAUGCCAUGUCAACACAACCCCUUUUUGCAAUCUUCCCUCAAACCUAUCCUCACGAUACGUGUUCUUAGGGUAGAUAACAAACCAACCACAGCAGGGGAAAGAUGGGCGCAUCACUUCACAGGUCUUCAAAAAGACAGGCAAUACAAUUAAAACCUCCAUACCUUAUGGAAGGUUGAGUGAAAUCCUUUAAUGAGUACAUAGAAGAAGGAAUUAAGCAGAUAACCUUGAAGAACUAUACAAGAAAAUUUAUGUUGUUGUCUGUGCUGAUCCCAUGGUGAAGAAAUCUGAUAAGGAACCACCCAAGGGCACU
This is a long non-coding RNA of Ziziphus jujuba (common jujube), 406 nucleotides long. RefSeq lists it as uncharacterized. The record is from RefSeq and is a predicted model, not a curated record. The transcript has 3 exons. Lineage: Eukaryota; Viridiplantae; Streptophyta; Magnoliopsida; Rosales; Rhamnaceae.